Molecule: ribosomal RNA, 375 nt
Filed under: uncultured organism
Description: partial 16S ribosomal RNA
Rfam family: Bacterial small subunit ribosomal RNA
Source: RNAcentral
GUAGGUGGCAAGCGUUGUCCGGAAUUAUUGGGCGUAAAGCGCGCGCAGGCGGUUCUUUAAGUCUGAUGUGAAAGCCCACGGCUCAACCGUGGAGGGUCAUUGGAAACUGGAGAACUUGAGUACAGAAGAGGAAAGCGGAAUUCCACGUGUAGCGGUGAAAUGCGUAGAGAUGUGGAGGAACACCAGUGGCGAAGGCGGCUUUCUGGUCUGUAACUGACGCUGAGGCGCGAAAGCGUGGGGAGCAAACAGGGAUUAGAUACCCUGGUAGUCCACGCCGUAAACGAUGAGUGCUAAGUGUUAGGGGGGUUUUCCGCCCCCUUAGUGCUGCAGCUAACGCAUUAAGAACUCCGCCUGGGGAGUACGGCCGCAAGGCUG